AAGUCGUAACAAGGUUUCCGUAGGUGAACCUGCGGAAGGAUCAUUACUGAGUGAGGGCCUUCGGGUCCAACCUCCCACCCGUGUCUAUUGUACCAUGUUGCUUCGGCAGGCCCGCCUUAUGGCCGCCGGGGGCUAACCGCCCCGGGCCCGCGCCUGCCGAAGACCCCUCUGAACGCUGUCUGAAGAUUGCCGUCUGAGCGAAACAUAUAAAUUAUUUAAAACUUUCAACAACGGAUCUCUUGGUUCCG
RNAcentral lists this unclassified non-coding RNA (248 nucleotides) under air metagenome. Its description in RNAcentral is "partial contains small subunit ribosomal RNA, internal transcribed spacer 1, and 5.8S ribosomal RNA". The stretch from base 1 to 46 matches the Rfam family "Eukaryotic small subunit ribosomal RNA", at positions 1786 to 1831 of the family's 1831-position model. The record is from RNAcentral.